This 122-nucleotide ribosomal RNA is filed under the name Bacteroides caecigallinarum. RNAcentral's name for it is "partial 23S ribosomal RNA". It matches the Rfam family "Bacterial large subunit ribosomal RNA", at positions 2789 to 2925 of the family's 2925-position model. The record is from RNAcentral. Lineage: Bacteria; Pseudomonadati; Bacteroidota; Bacteroidia; Bacteroidales; Bacteroidaceae.
GAAGCCGGCCACAAGAUAAGAUUUCUUAGGGUCGUCAAAGACUAUGACGUUGAUAGGAUGCAGGUGUAAAGCUGGAGACAGCAAAGCCGAGCAUUACUAAUUGCCCGUUAACUUUCAUUGUC